GCAAAGAAUAGUUUAGUUUAGAAUCCUAGCUUUGGGAGUUAGGGGUGG
Molecule: transfer RNA, 48 nt
Filed under: Macropodus opercularis (paradise fish)
Lineage: Eukaryota; Metazoa; Chordata; Actinopteri; Anabantiformes; Osphronemidae
Description: partial tRNA-Pro
Source: RNAcentral